AGGGCACCACCAGGAGUGGAGCCUGCGGCUUAAUUUGACUCAACACGGGAAAACUCACCCGGCCCGGACACCGUAAGGAUUGACAGACUGAGAGCUCUUUCUUAAUUCGGUGGGUGGUGGUGCAUGGCCGUUCUUAGUUGGUGGAGCGAUUUGUCUGGUUAAUUCCGAUAACGAACGAGACUCUGGCCUAUUAAAUAGACGGUGUAUCUUGAAGUAUACCGCGCUUCUUAGAGGGACAAGCGGCGUCUAGCCGCAUGAAAUAGAGCAAUAACAGGUCUGUGAUGCCCUUAGAUGUCCGGGGCUGCACGCGCGCUACACUGAAAUAAUCAGCGUGCGUGUACUUCGCCGAAAGGGGAUGGUAAAACCUUGAAAAAGUGCUGCGAGCGUGAGAUGAGAAAGCGAUUAUAUUUCGCGAACGAGAGGAACUCAGAGAAAGCGAGUGACAUACUCUCGCUGAGAUCACCUCUGUGCUCUGUGCACACCCCCCGCGUCUGUCCUACACAGAGCCUGACUUAGAGA
Molecule: ribosomal RNA, 519 nt
Filed under: uncultured eukaryote
Lineage: Eukaryota
Description: bacterial SSU rRNA
Rfam family: Eukaryotic small subunit ribosomal RNA
Source: RNAcentral